RNAcentral lists this ribosomal RNA (433 nucleotides) under uncultured bacterium. RNAcentral's name for it is "partial 16S ribosomal RNA". It matches the Rfam family "Bacterial small subunit ribosomal RNA", at positions 29 to 507 of the family's 1533-position model. The record is from RNAcentral.
AACGAACGCUGGCGGCAGGCCUAACACAUGCAAGUCGAGCGAGGACUUCGGUCCUAGCGGCGGACGGGUGAGUAACGCGUGGGAACGUGCCCUUUGCUUCGGAAUAGCCCUGGGAAACUGGGAGUAAUACCGGAUGAGCCCUUUGGGGGAAAGAUUUAUCGGCGAAGGAUCGGCGCGCGUUGGAUUAGGUAGUUGGUGGGGUAAUGGCCUACCAAGCCGACGAUGCAUAGCUGGUGUGAGAGGAUGAUCAGCCACACUGGGACUGAGACACGGCCCAGUCUCCUACGGGAGGGAGCAGUGGGGAAUCUUAGACAAGGGGGGAAACCCUGAUCUAGCCAUGCCGCGUGAGCGAUGAAGGCCUUAGGGUUGUAAAGCCCUUUCAGCUGAGAAGAUAAUGACGGUACCAGCAGAAGAAGCCCCGGCUAACUCCGUG